UACGUAGGGUGCAGGCGUUAAUCGGAAUUACUGGGCGUAAAGCGUGCGCAGGCGGUCUGCUAAGAGAGAUGUGAAAGCCCCGGGCUCAACCUGGGAAUUGCAUUCGAGACUGAAUAGCUAGGGUACGGUAGAGGGAAGUGGAAUUUCCGGUGUAGCGGUGAAAUGCGUAGAUAUCGGAAGGAACAUCAGUGGCGAAAGCGACUUCCUGGACCAGUACCGACGUUCAGGCACGAAAGCGUGGGGAGCAAACAGG
RNAcentral lists this ribosomal RNA (253 nucleotides) under uncultured bacterium. Its description in RNAcentral is "partial 16S ribosomal RNA". It matches the Rfam family "Bacterial small subunit ribosomal RNA", at positions 524 to 776 of the family's 1533-position model. The record is from RNAcentral.